RNAcentral lists this transfer RNA (72 nucleotides) under Camelus bactrianus (Bactrian camel). It matches the Rfam family "tRNA". Rfam says of the family: Transfer RNA (tRNA) molecules are approximately 80 nucleotides in length. Their secondary structure includes four short double-helical elements and three loops (D, anti-codon, and T loops). RNAcentral also lists the same sequence under 2 other names. Lineage: Eukaryota; Metazoa; Chordata; Mammalia; Artiodactyla; Camelidae. The record is from Rfam by way of RNAcentral.
GAGGGUAUAGCUCAGUGAUAGAGUGUGUGCUUAGCAUGCACGAGGUUCUGGGUUCAAUUCCCAGUACCUCCG